GACCUUCAGCUGUGGAUUACUCAACUCCUGCAUCACUGAAGAAUGCAGCUAGCUGUGAGAAUUAAUGUGAAUUGCAGGACACAUUGAUCAUCGACCCUUCCAAUGCACUUGCAGCCUGAGUUCCUCCCAGGGCUAUGCCUGUCUGAGCGUCG
This is a ribosomal RNA of Nomascus leucogenys (northern white-cheeked gibbon), 152 nucleotides long. It matches the Rfam family "5.8S ribosomal RNA". From Rfam's summary of the family: 5.8S ribosomal RNA (5.8S rRNA) is a component of the large subunit of the eukaryotic ribosome. The record is from Rfam. Lineage: Eukaryota; Metazoa; Chordata; Mammalia; Primates; Hylobatidae.